CCCUUAGAUGUCCUGGGCCGCGCGCGCGUUACACUGAUGCAUUCAACGAGCUUAUAACCUUGGCCGAGAGGCCUGGGCAAUCUUAUUAACGUGCAUCGUGAUAGGGAUAGAUUAUUGAAAUUAUUAAUCUUGAACGAGGAAUUCCUAGUAAACGCAGAUCAUCAAUCUGCAUUGAUUACGUCCCUGCCCUUUGUACACACCGCCCGUCGCACCUACCGAUUGGAUGGUCCGGUGAAGCCUCGGGAUUGUGGUUCUUGCCGCUUUAUUGUGGCGUGACCGCGAGAACUUGUCUAAACCUUAUCAUCUAGAGGAAGGUGAAGUCGUAACA
Molecule: ribosomal RNA, 328 nt
Filed under: uncultured eukaryote
Lineage: Eukaryota
Description: partial 18S ribosomal RNA
Rfam family: Eukaryotic small subunit ribosomal RNA
Source: RNAcentral